AGUGGGAUAGCUGGGUCAAAUGGUGGUUCCAUUCCAAGUUUUCUGAGGAAUCUCCAUACUGCUUUCCAGAGUGGUUGCACCAAUUUGCAGUCCCACCAGCAGU
RNAcentral lists this microRNA precursor (103 nucleotides) under Marmota monax (woodchuck). Lineage: Eukaryota; Metazoa; Chordata; Mammalia; Rodentia; Sciuridae. The record is from RNAcentral.